GAUGAAGAACGUAGCGAAAUGCGAUAAGUAAUGUGAAUUGCAGAAUUCAGUGAAUCAUCGAAUCUUUGAACGCACAUUGCGCCCGCCUGUAUUCUGGCGGGCAUGCCUGUCCGAGCGUCAUUUCAACCCUCGAACCCCUCCGGGGGGUCGGCGUUGGGGACCUCGGGAGCCCCUAAGACGGGAUCCCGGCCCCGAAAUACAGUGGCGGUCUCGCCGCAGCCUCUCCUGCGCAGUAGUUUGCACAACUCGCACCGGGAGCGCGGCGCGUCCACGUCCGUAAAACACCCAACUUCUGAAAUGUUGACCUCGGAUCAGGUAGGAAUACCCGCUGAACUUAAGCAUAUCAAUAAGCGGAGGA
RNAcentral lists this unclassified non-coding RNA (358 nucleotides) under soil metagenome. RNAcentral describes it as "partial contains 5.8S ribosomal RNA, internal transcribed spacer 2, and large subunit ribosomal RNA". The stretch from base 1 to 120 matches the Rfam family "5.8S ribosomal RNA", at positions 35 to 154 of the family's 154-position model. The record is from RNAcentral.